Molecule: non-coding RNA, 157 nt
Organism: Agrilus planipennis (emerald ash borer)
Lineage: Eukaryota; Metazoa; Arthropoda; Insecta; Coleoptera; Buprestidae
Source: Rfam
AUCUCAUAAUAACAUAUGGCUGAAGAGGGGCCUUGCGGCCCUAAAACGGCCUGAGGGGGGAAAGGUUUUAGUUGGUAGGCGCCCCUUCCGGGGUAAAUCCGACACUACCCAAUCGCACGGGCAGAUGAGUGUCUUUUGAAGAUUUUCUCUCCUCCAC